Molecule: ribosomal RNA, 488 nt
Filed under: uncultured Eubacteriales bacterium
Lineage: Bacteria; Bacillati; Bacillota; Clostridia; Eubacteriales
Description: bacterial SSU rRNA
Rfam family: Bacterial small subunit ribosomal RNA
Source: RNAcentral
AGAGUUUGAUCCUGGCUCAGGAUGAACGCUGGCGGCGUGCUUAACACAUGCAAGUCGAACGGACCCAUAUUGAAACCUAGUGAUAUAUGGGUUAGUGGCGGACGGGUGAGUAACGCGUGGGUAACCUGCCUUACACAGGGGGAUAACACUUAGAAAUAGGUGCUAAAACCGCAUAAGCGCACAGCUUCGCAUGAAGCGGUGUGAAAAACUCCGGUGGUGUAAGAUGGACCCGCGUCUGAUUAGCUUGUUGGCGGGGUAACGGCCCACCAAGGCGACGAUCAGUAGCCGGCCUGAGAGGGCGGACGGCCACAUUGGGACUGAGACACGGCCCAGACUCCUACGGGAGGCAGCAGUGGGGAAUAUUGCACAAUGGGGGGAACCCUGAUGCAGCAAUGCCGCGUGGGUGAAGAAGCACUCCGGUGCGUAAAGCCCUGUCAGCAGGGAAGAAAAUGACAGUACCUGGACAAGAAGCCCCGGCUAACUACGUG